Molecule: microRNA, 21 nt
Filed under: Oryza sativa (Asian cultivated rice)
Lineage: Eukaryota; Viridiplantae; Streptophyta; Magnoliopsida; Poales; Poaceae
Also listed under: 1 other name
Description: osa-miR810a
Gene: osa-miR810a
Source: miRBase by way of RNAcentral
UCAUAAGCCCACCACAUGUGG